This 20-nucleotide small nuclear RNA is filed under the name Arabidopsis thaliana (thale cress). RNAcentral describes it as "snRNA_16445". The record is from RNAcentral. Lineage: Eukaryota; Viridiplantae; Streptophyta; Magnoliopsida; Brassicales; Brassicaceae.
UGUGCCGGCGCGUACGACGG